Molecule: ribosomal RNA, 465 nt
Filed under: Vreelandella stevensii
Lineage: Bacteria; Pseudomonadati; Pseudomonadota; Gammaproteobacteria; Oceanospirillales; Halomonadaceae
Description: partial 16S ribosomal RNA
Rfam family: Bacterial small subunit ribosomal RNA
Source: RNAcentral
CCUACGGGUGGCAGCAGUGGGGAAUAUUGGACAAUGGGGGGAACCCUGAUCCAGCCAUGCCGCGUGUGUGAAGAAGGCCCUCGGGUUGUAAAGCACUUUCAGUGAGGAAGAACGCCUGGUGGUUAAUACCCAUCAGGAAAGACAUCACUCACAGAAGAAGCACCGGCUAACUCCGUGCCAGCAGCCGCGGUAAUACGGAGGGUGCGAGCGUUAAUCGGAAUUACUGGGCGUAAAGCGCGCGUAGGUGGCUUGAUAAGCCGGUUGUGAAAGCCCCGGGCUCAACCUGGGAACGGCAUCCGGAACUGUCAAGCUAGAGUGCAGGAGAGGAAGGUAGAAUUCCCGGUGUAGCGUUGAAAUGCGUAGAGAUCGGGAGGAAUACCAGUGGCGAAGGCGGCCUUCUGGACUGACACUGACACUGAGGUGCGAAAGCGUGGGUAGCAAACAGGAUUAGAUACCCCUGUAGUC